GCCCACGUGGCGCAGAGGUAGCGCACCUCUUUGGUAAAGAGGAGGUCAUGGGUCCGAUUCCCAUCGUGGGCUCCA
RNAcentral lists this transfer RNA (75 nucleotides) under Armatimonadota bacterium. RNAcentral's name for it is "Armatimonadetes bacterium (hot springs metagenome) tRNA-Thr". It matches the Rfam family "tRNA". Rfam says of the family: Transfer RNA (tRNA) molecules are approximately 80 nucleotides in length. Their secondary structure includes four short double-helical elements and three loops (D, anti-codon, and T loops). The record is from RNAcentral. Lineage: Bacteria; Bacillati; Armatimonadota.